CUCAAGAAUUUACAGAAUUUUAAUAUCUUCCCCAGAUGUCCCCCGGUGAUGCCAAUACAAUGUUUUAAAAAUAAUCUAUGUUUUAUUUCAUUAAUUCCAUUCACAGAUUUAUGACUUGGGAUUUCAUUGUGAGCACAAACUUGUGGGCUUUGAACCAGAGAAAGCGAGUUGAAACACUGGAAAGUGUGGCCACCAUGGUCCUGCAACCCCAGUGAGAGAAGCUGGUUGUGAGGUCUGGCGCCCGCCCGCCCUGCCCAGGGGACUGCUGGUGCCACCUGCCCCGAAGCCAGGGCCUGGCUGGAGGGAGGAGAACUCCGGGGUUGGGGAGCACAUUGUUUUGGAGAAGGAUAACAUGGCAGGAGGUUGUUAUUUAAUCACUAGCUGCCUUCUGAGCCGGAGAGUUAAUCACUACCAUUAAGUAGUGAUCACUCCAGGUGAGGAGAUGAGAGCAGCUUCACAUUUCGAAAGUUUGGAAGUCAAAAAGCAAAUGCCUGAUGCAGUCAGAGCUUGACGAGGAGGCUGCUCUUGUUCCAACGUGUGUGAGCUCCAGGGCCCUGCUUUCGGGUGAUGUUCUUCUUUUUCUUUCUUUCUUUCUUUUUUUUUGUAAUGGAAAUUAAAAUAAAACAACUUGAUAACUUGAUGCUGGCGACUGGCCCUUUCUGGUUUUACCUAUCAUCAUGUUUGAAAGUUUUUACAAUGAGCCCAUAUAAUUUUUGUAAUUAGAAAAAGCAAUUGACAGUCUUUAAAACAGAAGAAAACAAUGGGCUUUUUAAGGCUCCUUUUUUUGCGGGUUUUUUUUUUGUUGUUGUUGGCCUAGCUCAGUCUCCUGCGGCUGGUGGUGGAGGCCCAGGGUUCAAGGCUGUUUACCCAAUCAUGGGAAAACAACAGCAGAUUUUUGCUUUUGCUUUCUGACCCCACGAGGAAUCAGACACAGGAAGACCGUGUCCCAGGAAGACAGCACAAUGGAAAAUAACAAAGCCGACGGAGAGGAGAGUGGUCAUCAUUUCUGUCCUGCCAGCUCCUCCUCCUGCUUCGGUCCCAGCCAUCCCUGUGUCAAGGGGGUUCCAGGGAGCAGAGCAUCAGCAGACAGAACCGGGGAGCUCGGGAGCCACAGAAUCUCAGGCCCCAGUCCAGACCUUCUGAUCGGAUCCCGCAUUUUAACCAGACCCCCAGCUGUGUCGUGUGCCUGUUUAACUGUAAGGAGCACCCACCUUGGCCUUAGUACCUCCUGCCUGCACUCAUCCACCGUCAGUCUCCCAGGGGGCUUCUUUUCUCUAUUCCCUCUAUUUCAAGGCAAUCGCCACACUAUUGCAGGGAUUCAGAAUAAACCACUGUCAAAUUAUCUUGAGCUGAAGGCAUUUGUGUUCCUGAAAUCUCUGAUCUAAAAGCAGAGCCUCCCUGAAGGAGCUCAGUGGUCAUACAUCCUCUCCCCUGAUCACUUCUAAUCUUCUCUGACCCCAACUGACUUU
RNAcentral lists this long non-coding RNA (1469 nucleotides) under Vulpes vulpes (red fox). RNAcentral's name for it is "lncRNA (ENSVVUG00000005961.1)". The record is from RNAcentral. Lineage: Eukaryota; Metazoa; Chordata; Mammalia; Carnivora; Canidae.